This 421-nucleotide ribosomal RNA is filed under the name uncultured bacterium. RNAcentral describes it as "bacterial SSU rRNA". It matches the Rfam family "Bacterial small subunit ribosomal RNA", at positions 355 to 776 of the family's 1533-position model. The record is from RNAcentral.
UGGGGAAUCUUGCGCAAUGGCCGAAAGGCUGACGCAGCGACGCCGCGUGUGGGAGGACGCCCUUCGGGGUGUAAACCACUGUUGCCCGGGACGAACAGCGCUUUUCGAGGCGCCUGACGGUACCGGGUGAGGAAGCACCGGCUAACUCCGUGCCAGCAGCCGCGGUAAUACGGAGGGUGCGAGCGUUGUCCGGAAUCACUGGGCGUAAAGGGCGCGUAGGCGGCGCGAGAAGUCAACGGUGAAAGCCCGGGGCUCAACCCCGGGUCGGCCGUCGAUACUCUUGUGCUGGAGCACUGUAGAGGCAGGUGGAAUUCCGGGUGUAGCGGUGGAAUGCGUAGAGAUCCGGAAGAACACCGGUGGCGAAGGCGGCCUGCUGGGCAGUAGCUGACGCUGAGGCGCGACAGCGUGGGGAGCAAACAGG